Molecule: ribosomal RNA, 497 nt
Filed under: uncultured bacterium
Lineage: Bacteria
Description: partial 16S ribosomal RNA
Rfam family: Bacterial small subunit ribosomal RNA
Source: RNAcentral
GAUGAACGCUGGCGGCGUGCCUAAUACAUGCAAGUCGAGCGAACAGACGAGGAGCUUGCUCCUCUGACGUUAGCGGCGGACGGGUGAGUAACACGUGGAUAACCUACCUAUAAGACUGGGAUAACUUCGGGAAACCGGAGCUCAUACCGGAUAAUAUAUUGAACCGCAUGGUUCAAUAGUGAACGACGGUUUUGCUGUCACUUAUAGCUGGAUCCGCGCGGCAUUAGCUAGUUGGUAAGGUAACGGCUUACCAAGGCGACGAUGCGUAGACGACCUGAGAGGGGGAUCGGCCACACGGGAGCUGAGACACGGUCCAGACGCCUACGGUAGGCAGCAGUAGGGAAUCGGCCGCAAUGGGCGAAAGCAUGACGGAGCAAGGCCGCGUGAGUGAUGAAGGUCUUCGGUGCGGAAAAAUCUGCUAUGAGGGGAGAACAAAUGUGGAAGGAAAUAUGCACGGAUUGACGGUACCUAAUCAGAAAGCAACGGCUAACUACGUG